Molecule: long non-coding RNA, 187 nt
Organism: Eurytemora carolleeae
Lineage: Eukaryota; Metazoa; Arthropoda; Copepoda; Calanoida; Temoridae
Exons: 3
Source: RefSeq, a predicted model, not a curated record
AGGAACGUGAAUUGAAAACUACAGACUCUCUCUCCCGCCUAGAUGAAGAACUGGAACAGGUUCCUUGUCGUCUUCCACAACCAGGAGAAGAAUGUGACCAAUUCAUAUUCAGGUCUGGACAAAGUUCCUUCUCUUCUCCUCAGCUAAGUUCAGACUCUCCACAGCUUGGUCUUUCUCCACAGAUUAG